UGGGGAAUCUUCCGCAAUGGACGAAAGUCUGACGGAGCAACGCCGCGUGUAUGAUGAAGGUCUUCGGAUUGUAAAGUACUGUCAUUGGGGAAGAACGGUUUUCUUGAAAAGAUUGAGAAGACAUGACGGUACCCAAGGAGGAAGCCCCGGCUAACUACGUGCCAGCAGCCGCGGUAAUACGUAGGGGGCAAGCGUUGUCCGGAAUUAUUGGGCGUAAAGGGCGCGUAGGCGGGCCUUUAAGUCCGGUGUGAAAGAUCAGGGCUCAACCCUGAGAGUGCAUCGGAAACUGGAGGCCUUGAGGACAGGAGAGGAAAGUGGAAUUCCACGUGUAGCGGUGAAAUGCGUAGAUAUGUGGAGGAACGCCAGUGGCGAAGGCGACUUUCUGGACUGUAACUGACGCUGAGGCGCGAAAGCGUGGGGAGCAAACAGGAUUAGAUACCCUGGUAGUCCACGCCGUAAACGAUGAGUGCUAGGUGUAGAGGGUAUCGACCCCUUCUGUGCCGCAGUUAACACAAUAAGCACUCCGCCUGGGGAGUACGGCCGCAAGGUUGAAACU
RNAcentral lists this ribosomal RNA (556 nucleotides) under uncultured bacterium. RNAcentral describes it as "partial 16S ribosomal RNA". It matches the Rfam family "Bacterial small subunit ribosomal RNA", at positions 355 to 901 of the family's 1533-position model. The record is from RNAcentral.